GGCCUUGAAAUACCACCCUUUAAUGUUUGAUGUUCUAACGUGGACCCGUGAUCCGGGUUGCGGACAGUGUCUGGUGGGUAGUUUGACUGGGGCGGUCUCCUCCUAAAGAGUAACGGAGGAGCACGAAGGUUGGCUAAUCCUGGUCGGACAUCAGGAGGUUAGUGCAAUGGCAUAAGCCAGCUUGACUGCGAGCGUGACGGCGCGAGCAGGUGCGAAAGCAGGUCAUAGUGAUCCGGUGGUUCUGAAUGGAAGGGCCAUCGCUCAACGGAUAAAAGGUACUCCGGGGAUAACAGGCUGAUACCGCCCAAGAGUUCAUAUCGACGGCGGUGUUUGGCACCUCGAUGUCGGCUCAUCACAUCCUGGGGCUGAAGUAGGUCCCAAGGGUAUGGCUGUUCGCCAUUUAAAGUGGUACGCGAGCUGGGUUUAGAACGUCGUGAGACAGUUCGGUCCCUAUCUGCCGUGGGCGCUGGAGAACUGAGGGGGGCUGCUCCUAGUACGAGAGGACCGGAGUGGACGCAUCACUGGUGUUCGGGUUGUCAUGCCAAUGGCACUGCCCGGUAGCUAAAUGCGGAAGAGAUAAGUGCUGAAAGCAUCUAAGCACGAAACUUGCCCCGA
Molecule: ribosomal RNA, 615 nt
Filed under: Salmonella enterica
Lineage: Bacteria; Pseudomonadati; Pseudomonadota; Gammaproteobacteria; Enterobacterales; Enterobacteriaceae
Also listed under: 2 other names
Description: partial 23S ribosomal RNA
Rfam family: Bacterial large subunit ribosomal RNA
Source: RNAcentral